GUUUGAUCCUGGCUCAGGACGAACGCUGGCGGCGUGCUUAACACAUGCAAGUCGAGCGGAAAGGCCCCUUCGGGGGUACUCGAGCGGCGAACGGGUGAGUAACACGUGGGUAACCUGCCCUUGGCUUUGGGAUAACCUCGGGAAAUCGGGGCUAAUACCGAAUAUGACACGCGACCGCAUGGUCUGUGUGUGGAAAGAUUUUUCGGCUGAGGAUGGACUCGCGGCCUAUCAGCUUGUUGGUGGGGUAAUGGCCUACCAAGGCAUCGAUGGGUAGCUGGUCUGAGAGGACGAUCAGCCACACUGGGACUGAGACACGGCCCAGACUCCUACGGGAGGCAGCAGUGGGGAAUCUUGCGCAAUGCGCGAAAGCGUGACGCAGCAACGCCGCGUGGGGGAAGACGGCCUUCGGGUUGUAAACCCCUUUCAGGAGGGACGAAGGUUCGCCGGUGAAUAGCCGUGUGGAUUGACGGUACCUCCAGAAGAAGCUCCGGCUAACUACGUGCCAGCAGCCGCGGUAAUACGUAGGGAGCAAGCGUUGUCCGGAAUCAUUGGGCGUAAAGCGCGCGUAGGCGGCCCUGUAAGUCCGUUGUGAAAGUCAAAGGCUCAACCUUUGAAAGCCGAUGGAUACUGCAGGGCUAGAGUCCGGAAGAGGCGAGUGGAAUUCCUGGUGUAGCGGUGGAAUGCGCAGAUAUCAGGAGGAACACCAAUAGCGAAGGCAGCUCGCUGGGACGGUACUGACGCUAAGGCGCGAAAGCGUGGGGGGCGAACAGGAUUAGAUACCCUGGGUAGUCCACGCCGUAAACGAUGGGCACUAGGUGUGGGAGGUGUCGACUCCUCCCGUGCCGUCGCUAACGCACUAAGUGCCCCGCCUGGGGAGUACGGCCGCAAGGCUAAAACUCAAAGGAAUUGACG
This 912-nucleotide ribosomal RNA is filed under the name uncultured bacterium. RNAcentral describes it as "bacterial SSU rRNA". It matches the Rfam family "Bacterial small subunit ribosomal RNA", at positions 11 to 915 of the family's 1533-position model. The record is from RNAcentral.